UGCAGUGUACCCGCGGCAAGACGGAAAGACCCCGUGAACCUUUACUAUAGCUUGACACUGAACAUUGAGCCUUGAUGUGUAGGAUAGGUGGGAGGCUUUGAAGCGUGGACGCCAGUCUGCGUGGAGCCGACCUUGAAAUACCACCCUUUAAUGUUUGAUGUUCUAACGUGGACCCGUAAUCCGGGUUGCGGACAGUGUCUGGUGGGUAGUUUGACUGGGGCGGUCUCCUCCUAAAGAGUAACGGAGGAGCACGAAGGUUGGCUAAUCCUGGUCGGACAUCAGGAGGUUAGUGCAAUGGCAUAAGCCAGCUUGACUGCGAGCGUGACGGCGCGAGCAGGUGCGAAAGCAGGUCAUAGUGAUCCGGUGGUUCUGAAUGGAAGGGCCAUCGCUCAACGGAUAAAAGGUACUCCGGGGAUAACAGGCUGAUACCGCCCAAGAGUUCAUAUCGACGGCGGUGUUUGGCACCUCGAUGUCGGCUCAUCACAUCCUGGGGCUGAAGUAGGUCCCAAGGGUAUGGCUGUUCGCCAUUUAAAGUGGUACGCGAGCUGGGUUUAGAACGUCGUGAGACAGUUCGGUCCCUAUCUGCCGUGGGCGCUGGAGAACUGAGGGGGGCUGCUCCUAGUACGAGAGGACCGGAGUGGACGCAUCACUGGUGUUCGGGUUGUCAUGCCAAUGGCACUGCCCGGUAGCUAAAUGCGGAAGAGAUAAGUGCUGAAAGCAUCUAAGCACGAAACUUGCCCCGAGAUGAGUUCUCCCUGAGACCUAGAGUCUCCUGAAGGAACGUUGAAGACGACGACGUUGAUAGGCCGGGUGUGUAAGCGCAGCGAUGCGUUGAGCUAACCGGUACUAAUGAACCGUGAGGCUUAACCUU
This 871-nucleotide ribosomal RNA is filed under the name Salmonella enterica. RNAcentral's name for it is "partial 23S ribosomal RNA". It matches the Rfam family "Bacterial large subunit ribosomal RNA", at positions 2060 to 2925 of the family's 2925-position model. Lineage: Bacteria; Pseudomonadati; Pseudomonadota; Gammaproteobacteria; Enterobacterales; Enterobacteriaceae. The record is from RNAcentral.